GCGGCCGCACCCUGAAAUUUUCCAUCCCGUGCCGCCGCCGCCCGGGCCCUCGCACUGCACCUGCGCUCGCCCACGUCCUCGGCUCGUCGCCGUGCACCUCCGCUCCCCCUGCACUGCAACACGCGCCGGUUGCCCCGCCGAGCCGCCUCCGUCAUCGACGCGCCGGGCCGCCGCCGCCACAUCGCCGAGCGCCGGAAGCCUGUCGGCCCCUCCUCCCCCACGCCGGCGCGCGCGGUGGAAGACGAAGCAGUUGGAGAAGGACUACGACGCGCUCCGCCGCCAGCUCGAUGCCGCCCGCACCGAGAACGACGCCCUCCUCGCCCACAACAAGAAGCUCCACGCCGAGAAGCUGAACUGAGCAUGAUGAAUCUAUAUAGCCAAACAAUGGAGGAUGAAGAUUGUACCCUUGUUCGUUACUUGAUUGCUGAGGAUAACCCAAAUUAUGAGUUUCUCGAUGAUGACGACGACAUACACACUCUGGUGUCAGCCAUCGAUGCAGAGAGCUCCUACCACGGUUCAAUACAUGUGAGACGACUUGUCCCCAGAGAACAUGUUGAUGGAGAGGCAAGGAUCAUACGCCAAUACUUUGCUGCCAAUCCUAUUUACACCCCCGAAAAGUUUCGUGAAGGUUCAGUCUGUGGACAGCUACUUCCAACAACGCGAGGAUUGUACUGGGCUUUUAGGAUUGAGUACUUUGCAGAAGGUGGUAGCCGCAAUGCGCAUACUGGCGUAUGGUUUGCCGUUAGAUGCCGUUGAUGAGUAUGUGCAAAUUGGCACGUCAACCGCUCGUGAGACUCUUAACCAUUUCUGCAGUGCUGUUAUAGCUGCCUUUGGGGAGGAAUACCUGCGUUCUCCAACCCCUGUCGAUGUGGCUCGUCUACUGCAAGAGGGUGAGAGACAAGGUUUCCCAGGUAUGCUUGGUAGAAUAGAUUGUAUGUACUACGAAUGGCGGAACUGCCCUACUGCUUGGAAGGGCAUGUUCACUGGACGCGGGAAGCACCCAUCCAUGAUCUUGGAGGCUGUAGCAUCUUAUGACCUUUGGAUAUGGCAUGCCUACUUUGGCCUUCCAGGCAGCUGCAAUGAUAUCAAUGUACUGCAGAGGUCGCCUAUUUUCUCAACAUAUAUUUGAGGAGUCACCUCCUGUUCACUUCACUGUCAACGGACGGACAUAUGACAUGGGGUACUACCUUGCAGAUGGUAUAUACCCUGAUUGGCCAGCAUUUGUCAAGAGCGUUUGCCAUACUAUGGAGAGGAAGACACAACGUUUUGCUGCUGUGUAAGAGGGUGCGCGCAAGGAUAUUGAGAGAGCUUUUGGAGUUCUUCAAGCUAGGUGGGCAGUAAUCCGUGGGCCGGCUUAUGGAUGGGACAGGGAGCAGCUUUCUGAUAUUAUGACCGCUUGUAUUAUCAUGCAUAACAUGAUUGUCGAGGAUGAGAAGUCUGAGGCCAUCAAUACCAACUUCGACAACAUUGGCAGACAAGUCAAUCCUUCAGGUGGAAAUGUAGUGGAACGGGAAGCAUUUGUAGCAGCACAUCACAAGUUGCGUGACCAAGCUUGCCAUAUCCAACUUCAGAAGGAUCUCAUCGAGCACAACUGGAUGCAAUAUGGUUCAACCUAGUUUUUUUUUUUGUAAUGUGUUUACUGUAUGAAUGUAAUUAAUUUAUCUGAAUUCUGGAAUGAUUUUCUUAAUGAUUGUUAACUCUGAAAUUUGCUUGUGACAUGCCAUGUAAUCUUGCUGGUAUCUUGUUGACA
This is a long non-coding RNA of Panicum virgatum (switchgrass), 1750 nucleotides long. RefSeq lists it as uncharacterized. The record is from RefSeq and is a predicted model, not a curated record. The transcript is spliced from 3 exons. Lineage: Eukaryota; Viridiplantae; Streptophyta; Magnoliopsida; Poales; Poaceae.